This is a long non-coding RNA of Seriola aureovittata, 1288 nucleotides long. RefSeq lists it as uncharacterized. NCBI's taxonomy places the organism in Eukaryota, Metazoa, Chordata, Actinopteri, Carangiformes, Carangidae. The record is from RefSeq and is a predicted model, not a curated record. The transcript is spliced from 3 exons.
UUCAGGCCAAAACACAUCGCUGCCUUUAGGAGAAGUGAAGGUUUAUUUGAUAGACAGAAAUAAAUAUUCCAGUCAUAAACCAACAGGUAGAAACAUCAUCACUCUGACUGAUGGACAGUUUUUAUUUUCCUCCGCUGGCAGGAAAAAUAACCUGGACGUUACCUAGACAAUCAGUGGUGGGGGGUGGGAAAUAAAAAUGUGGAGUGUGUCUUUAGUCUCCUGUGAUGUCGUGUAGCACCGAGGUGGCGUUUGAGGAACGUCAGUGACAAAGUGGAAACAAAAGGACGUCCUGCAGAGUCACAAACAGACGUUUCCUCUCGUACAAACAGCUGGUUUAAAGGUCUUGUUUUGGGCUGUUAUUGGAUUGUGGCCGUGUGUAAUCGGACAUCUCUCUCUCUCUCUCUCUCUCUCUCUCUCUCUCUCUCUCUCUCUCUCUCUCUCUCUCUGUUAGCUCAGAUGUAAUUAGCUCUGCAGCAGCCGAGCGUGUCUGGAGGAACACCCACCCGGAUGAAGACGAGAGCUGCAGUUUGACUUUGUCCCGUCUGAUCGUCUGACUGCUCUGGUCUCUGGACUCAUUUGUUUGUGCUUCUCCUCUCUUUGUCUCUUUCUCUGUCCUCAUUCUGCAGGUAUCUCUUUUUUUUGGAGGAGCAGGAUCCAGAUCUGCCAUGACGACACUCAACAUUACUAUUAGUAUGAUUAUUUCCACUGUAACGAUUAACAGCAGAUAUGAUAACCCUGUUACCUAUUGGUAUAACUUCUUAUUUUCACUGUUAGAAUUAACAAUCAACGGUGUAUACUGCUGUCAGUGGUUUUCCUUACUCCUGUUGAACAGUGCUUGCUCUUUCUAGGAACUGUUGGGUUUCUCUCUAGAAAUAAAUAAGGUCUUGACCAUACCUUGUAAAGUGCCAUGAGAUAAUGUACAUUAUGAUUUGGUGCUAUGCAAAUAGAAUUGAAUUGAAUUCAAUAGUAAAGCAUCAAAAAUUUCAUUAAAAAAUUAUACUAUAGUAAGUGUGACGGCCCCAGGGCCUCUAUCAGGGCUUGUGUGUGUGUUUCGUUGUGUUCUGUGUUCAUGUAGGUUCCUAGGUGGGUGGAGCUGGAGGCCAUCGAGGAAGUGAAGGCAGUUGGCCACCGUCUUCCACCUAGAUUAUACAGGACUGCCCCAUCCCGACACUAAGGAGGCUCCCUCUUUGCACCACAUGAUCUUAUGUUGGAGUCUUGAUUUUCUGUUUCUUUUGUUAUCUUUGUAAGAACAACAAGAAUGACUGUUAAAUAAAAUUCCUUUGUUUUC